RNAcentral lists this ribosomal RNA (2827 nucleotides) under Klebsiella pneumoniae. RNAcentral's name for it is "23S ribosomal RNA". It matches the Rfam family "Bacterial large subunit ribosomal RNA". The record is from RNAcentral. Lineage: Bacteria; Pseudomonadati; Pseudomonadota; Gammaproteobacteria; Enterobacterales; Enterobacteriaceae.
GGGUUGUGAGGUUAAGCGACUAAGCGUACACGGUGGAUGUCCCGCAGUCAGAGGCGAUGAAGGACGUGCUAAUCUGCGAAAAGCGUCGGUAAGGUGAUAUGAACCGUUACAGCCGGCGAUGUCCGAAUGGGGAAACCCAGUUGUUACUAUCGUUAACUGAAUACAUAGGUUAACGAGGCGAACGGGGAACUGAAACAUCUAAGUACCCCGAGGAAAAGAAAUCAACCGAGAUUCCCCAGUAGCGGCGAGCGAACGGGGAGCAGCCCAGAGUCUGAAUCAGCUUGUGUGGUACUGGAAAGUCCGACGGUACAGGGUGAUAGUCCCGUACACCAAAAUGCACAGGCUGUGAACUCGAAGAGUAGGGCGGGACACGUGGUAUCCUGUCUGAAUAUGGGGACCAUCCUCCGCUAAAUACUCCUGACUGACCGAUAGUGAACCAGUACCGUGAGGGAAAGGCGAAAAGAACCCCGGCGAGGGGAGUGAAAAGAACCUGAAACCGUGUACGUACAAGCAGUGGGAGCACCUUCGGGUGUGACUGCGUACCUUUGUAUAAUGGGUCAGCGACUUAUAUUCUGUAGCAAGGUUAACCGUAGGGGAGCCGCAGGGAAACCGAGUCUUAACUGGGCGUUAAGUUGCAGGGUAUAGACCCGAAACCCGGUGAUUCAGCCAAGGUUGAAGGUAACACUAACUGGAGGACCGAACCGACUAAUGUUGAAAAAUUAGCGGAUGACUUGUGGGUGAAAGGCCAAUCAAACCGGGAGAUAGCUGGUUCUCCCGAAAGCUAUUUAGGUAGCGCCUCGUGAAUUCAUCUUCGGGGUAGAGCACUGUUUCGGCUAGGGGUCAUCCCGACUUACCAACCCGAUGCAAACUACGAAUACCGAAGAAUGUUAUCACGGGAGACACACGGCGGUGCUAACGUCCGUCGUGAAGAGGGAAACAACCCAGACCGCCAGCUAAGGUCCCAAAGUCAUGGUUAAGGGGAAACGAUGUGGGAAGGCACAGACAGCCGAUGUUGGCUUAGAAGCAGCCAUCAUUUAAAGAAAGCGUAAUAGCUCACUGGUCGAGUCGGCCUGCGCGGAAGAUGUAACGGGGCUAAACCAUGCACCAGCUGCGGCAGCGACACUAUGUGUUGUUGGGUAGGGGAGCGUUCUGUAAGCCUGCGAAGGUGUGCUGUGAGGCAUGCUGGAGGUAUCAGAAGUGCGAAUGCUGACAUAAGUAACGAUAAAGCGGGUGAAAAGCCCGCUCGCCGGAAGACCAAGGGUUCCUGUCCAACGUUAAUCGGGGCAGGGUGAGUCGACCCUGGCGAGGCCGAAAGGCGUAGUCGAUGGGAAACAGGUUAAUAUUCCUGUACUUGGUGUUACUGCGAAGGGGGACGGAGAAGGCUAUGUUAGCCGGGCGACGGUUGUCCCGGUUUAAGCAUGUAGGCUGGUUGUCCGUGCAAAUCCGGAUAAUCAAGGCUGAGGUGUGAUGACGAGGCACUACGGUGCUGAAGUAACAAAUGCCCUGCUUCCGUGAAAAGCCUCUAAGCAUCAGGUAACAUUAAAUCGUACCCCAAACCGACACAGGUGGUCAGGUAGAGAAUACCAAGGCGCUUGAGAGAACUCGGGUGAAGGAACUAGGCAAAAUGGUGCCGUAACUUCGGGAGAAGGCACGCUGUGUGUAGGUGAAGUCCCUGCGGAUGGAGCUGAGACCAGUCGAAGAUACCAGCUGGCUGCAACUGUUUAUUAAAAACACAGCACUGUGCAAACACGAAAGUGGACGUAUACGGUGUGACGCCUGCCCGGUGCCGGAAGGUUAAUUGAUGGGGUUAUCCGUAAGGAGAAGCUCUUGAUCGAAGCCCUGGUAAACGGCGGCCGUAACUAUAACGGUCCUAAGGUAGCGAAAUUCCUUGUCGGGUAAGUUCCGACCUGCACGAAUGGCGUAAUGAUGGCCGUUGACCCGAAAUUGAACUCGCUGUGAAGAUGCAGUGUACCCGCGGCAAGACGGAAAGACCCCGUGAACCUUUACUAUAGCUUGACACUGAACAUUGAGCCUUGAUGUAGGAUAGGUGGGAGGCUUUGAAGCGUGGACGCAGUCUGCGUGGAGCCAACCUUGAAAUACCACCCUUUAAUGUUUGAUGUUCUAACGUUGGCCCUUACCGGGGUUGCGGACAGUGUCUGGUGGGUAGUUUGACUGGGGCGGUCUCUCCCAAAGCGUAACGGAGGAGCACGAAGGUUAGCUAAUCCGGUCGGACAUCAGGAGGUUAGUGCAAUGGCAUAAGCUAGCUUGACUGCGAGCGACGGCGCGAGCAGGUGCGAAAGCAGGUCAUAGUGAUCCGGUGGUUCUGAAUGGAAGGGCCAUCGCUCAACGGAUAAAAGGUACCCGGGAUAACAGGCUGAUACCGCCCAAGAGUUCAUAUCGACGGCGGUGUUUGGCACCUCGAUGUCGGCUCAUCACAUCCUGGGGCUGAAGUAGGUCAAGGGUAUGGCUGUUCGCCAUUUAAAGUGGUACGCGAGCUGGGUUUAGAACGUCGUGAGACAGUUCGGUCCCCAUUCUGCCGUGGGCGCUGGAGAAUUGAGGGGGCUGCUCUAGUACGAGAGGACCGGAGUGGACGCAUCACUGGUGUUCGGGUUGUCAUGCCAAUGGCACUGCCCGGUAGCUAAAUGCGGAAGAGAUAAGUGCUGAAAGCAUCUAAGCACGAAACUUGCCCUGAGAUGAGUUCUCCUGAGACUUUAAGUCUCCUGAAGGAACGUUAAAGACGAUGACGUUGAUAGGCCGGGUGUGUAAGCGCAGCGAUGCAGCUAACCGGUACUAAUGAACCGUGAGGCUUAACCUUACAACGCCGAAG